RNAcentral lists this ribosomal RNA (429 nucleotides) under Gemmatimonadota bacterium. Its description in RNAcentral is "Gemmatimonadetes bacterium partial 16S ribosomal RNA". It matches the Rfam family "Bacterial small subunit ribosomal RNA", at positions 355 to 776 of the family's 1533-position model. Lineage: Bacteria; Pseudomonadati; Gemmatimonadota. The record is from RNAcentral.
UAGGGAAUCUUCGGCAAUGGACGAAAGUCUGACCGAGCAACGCCGCGUGAGUGAAGAAGGUUUUCGGAUCGUAAAACUCUGUUGUUAGAGCAGAACAAGGACGUUAGUAACUGAACGUCCCCUGACGGUAUCUAACCAGAAAGCCACGGCUAACUACGUGCCAGCAGCCGCGGUAAUACGUAGGUGGCAAGCGUUGUCCGGAUUUAUUGGGCGUAAAGCGAGCGCAGGCGGUUUCUUAAGUCUGAUGUGAAAGCCCCCGGCUCAACCGGGGAGGGUCAUUGGAAACUGGGAGCCUUGAGUGCAGAAGAGGAGAGUGGAAUUCCAUGGGUAGCGGUGAAAUACGUAGAUAUAUGGAGGAACACCAGUGGAGAAGGCGGCUCUCUGGUCUGUAACUGACGCUGAGGCUCGAAAGCGUGGGGAGCAAACAGG